UCGCUGGAGGACUAGUGGGUAGGCCACACCGCUGGAACCGCUGCGGUCUGGGUUCGAUUCCUGGCCAGGGAA
This is a non-coding RNA of Pangasianodon gigas (Mekong giant catfish), 72 nucleotides long. The record is from the annotation of a GenBank genome assembly. Lineage: Eukaryota; Metazoa; Chordata; Actinopteri; Siluriformes; Pangasiidae.